GAAGACUGCCCUAUGGGUUGUAAACUGCUUUUAUACGGGAAGAAACACCGCUACGUGUAGCGGCUUGACGGUACCGUAAGAAUAAGGAUCGGCUAACUCCGUGCCAGCAGCCGCGGUAAUACGGAGGAUCCAAGCGUUAUCCGGAAUCAUUGGGUUUAAAGGGUCCGUAGGUGGAUAAUUAAGUCAGAGGUGAAAUCCUGCAGCUCAACUGUAGAAUUGCCUUUGAUACUGGUUAUCUUGAGUUAUUAUGAAGUAGUUAGAAUAUGUAGUGUAGCGGUGAAAUGCAUAGAUAUUACAUAGAAUACCGAUUGCGAAGGCAGAUUACUAAUAAUCAACUGACACUGAUGGACGAAAGCGUGGGGAGCGAACAGGAUUAGAUACCCUGGUAGUCCACGCCGUAAACGAUGGUCACUAGCUGUUCGGACUUCGGUCUGAAGUGGCUAAGCGAAAGUGAUAAGUGACCCACCUGGGGAGUACCGUUCGCAAGAAUGAAACUCAAA
Molecule: ribosomal RNA, 500 nt
Filed under: uncultured Cytophaga sp.
Lineage: Bacteria; Pseudomonadati; Bacteroidota; Cytophagia; Cytophagales; Cytophagaceae
Description: bacterial SSU rRNA
Rfam family: Bacterial small subunit ribosomal RNA
Source: RNAcentral